UCAUCGCACCCAUCCUGAUAAGCCGGCCCCCCGUCCUAGGGGUAGACCGCGGCGGAGACAUCGGCCUCCAGGAGGCGGCCGUCAGGGGGGGGGGAAUGUCACGCCCCUGAGGGGCGGAAACCCGCAAGUGACGCCGAUUAACGCUAAUCAGAUCGCAGGAUAAAAGAACCUAAGGAACAGAAGAACAUCGCGAAGUAUUGAGCCGAUGAUUACCAGCCAUACCAAGCAAUUUACUUGUCUGCCGUCUACCCUACCCUCCCGGAUCUGCCUGUCUUACCUUUGUCUGUGCCUCACCUGUCUGCCUUCCCUCCUCAGUGUCCUCGUCAUACCUGAUCCUCCAGUUCCGACGUCCUCCGCCUUCCUCGUCAUCGUUCCCCUUCGUGCCUGUGCUUCAGUGUUGGACAGCUCUUCCUGGUACCGACCAUCGCCCACGUCUACCGAUUACGAUUCUCGCCUGCCGAUUCCAAGUUCCGUCUACCUUUCCCCUCCCCUGAGCACCGCCUCGGGAUCCACUGCCCCGCACCACCGGUUCCGGUCGGUGACCGCCUCGGCAUUGCCGCUGUUCUCUCAAUAAACCGGUCGUUUCCCUGCAUUCCUGGAUCCUUGUCCGUCUGUUCCACUCUCUGCCUGACACUAUGCAUUAAUUUAUGCAGAAAAAUCGAAAGUAAAAGUUCUGAGCAUUCUUCAUUCAGUCGCCAUUUUGCGGUGGGGACGCAGGAAAGAAAUCUUCACUAUCAGUGUCACUUCAUACAGAGGAAACGCGGAGCUUCACACAGUAACGCAGCCUAAGACUGAACUGUUCAGACAGAGGUGUGGAGAAGCAGCAGCGACACACAUUCAGAGAGAAGGAGGGUGUUAGGAAUGGCUGAGACGCCAGAGGCUUCAGAAACCAUAGGAGGCCAUGGAGCUCCAAAAGGUACAAACAUUCUAUUCUCUCACAGAAGUGCAAAAAUACAAAGUAUUAACAAAAAAAAAGAAAAGAAUCACCUAAAACAGGCUGUAUCUUGGCAGACCCUGCAUCCAUAACAACCUCUCCCUUUAGCACACUCCUCAGGGCUUA
Paramormyrops kingsleyae is the source of this 1060-nucleotide non-coding RNA. Lineage: Eukaryota; Metazoa; Chordata; Actinopteri; Osteoglossiformes; Mormyridae. The record is from RefSeq and is a predicted model, not a curated record.